UACGUAGGGUGCAAGCGUUGUUCGGAAUUAUUGGGCGUAAAGCGCGUGUAGGUGGUUAGCUAAGUCGAUUGUAAAAGCCCUAGGCUCAACCAAGGAAGUGCAUUCGAAACUAGCUAACUAGAGGAUGGCAGAGGAAGGUGGAAUUCCAAGUGUAGAGGUGAAAUUCGUAGAUAUUUGGAGGAAUACCGGCGGCGAAGGCGGCCUUCUGGACCAUUCCUGACACUGAGACGCGAAAGCGUGGGGAGCAAACAGG
RNAcentral lists this ribosomal RNA (253 nucleotides) under uncultured bacterium. Its description in RNAcentral is "partial 16S ribosomal RNA". It matches the Rfam family "Bacterial small subunit ribosomal RNA", at positions 524 to 776 of the family's 1533-position model. The record is from RNAcentral.